AAUGGGCGAAAGCCUGACCGAGCAAUGCCGCGUGCGGGAUGAAGGCCCUCGGGUUGUAAACCGCAAAAGUGAGGAGGAAGGCCCCGUGAAGAGCGGGGCUUGACCGAGCCACAGUAAGGACGGGCUAAGUUCGUGCCAGCAGCCGCGGUAACACGAACCGUCCAAACGUUAUUCGGAAUCACUGGGCUUAAAGGGUGCGUAGGCGGCGCAUUAAGUCGGGUGUGAAAUCCCUCGGCUCAACCGAGGAACUGCGCCCGAUACUGAUGUGCUUGAGGGAGACAGGGGUGAGCGGAACUGAUGGUGGAGCGGUGAAAUGCGUUGAUAUCAUCAGGAACACCGGUGGCGAAAGCGGCUCACUGGGUCUCUUCCGACGCUGAGGCACGAAAGCUAGGGUAGCGAACGGGAUU
Molecule: ribosomal RNA, 407 nt
Filed under: uncultured Gammaproteobacteria bacterium
Lineage: Bacteria; Pseudomonadati; Pseudomonadota; Gammaproteobacteria
Description: bacterial SSU rRNA
Rfam family: Bacterial small subunit ribosomal RNA
Source: RNAcentral